UAUCACUAAGAGAUGGUUCCCGCGGUGUAUUAGUUAGUUGGUGAGGUAAUGGCUCACCAAGACAAUGAUACAUAGCCGAGUUGAGAGACUGACCGGGCCACAAUGGGACUGAGACACGGGCCCAUACUCCUACGGGAGGCAGCAGUAGGGAAUCUUCCACAAUGGACGAAAGUCUGAUGGAGCAACGCCGCGUGUGUGAUGAAGGGUUUCGGCUCGUAAAACACUGUUGUAAGAGAGGAAUGACAUUGAGAGUAACUGUUCAAUGUGUGACGGUAUCUUACCAGAAAGGAACGGCUAAAUACGUG
RNAcentral lists this ribosomal RNA (305 nucleotides) under uncultured bacterium. RNAcentral's name for it is "bacterial SSU rRNA". It matches the Rfam family "Bacterial small subunit ribosomal RNA", at positions 213 to 507 of the family's 1533-position model. The record is from RNAcentral.